UGUCAAUUGCUCCAGUGUACAUAUCCUCUAAGCUGUAUUUAAAUUCGAACCCCAUUUCUUUGAUCUUCUUUGAUGAAAAUCUGACAAGCUCCAAUUCAUCUGGAAUAUUCUUGAACAUGAUAAAAAUCCAAUGCAAUAUCAGCUCAACAUGGAUGUUUAUCUUGUAGUUUUGUACAUAAAUAAGUGAUUCUGAAAUAUUUGAACGUGAACACUCGGGCAAAGUAGCUUGGAAGACUUACUUAGUGGGGACAUUGUACUCUGGAUACUUUGAGUUAAUUAACUUUGCAAUGUCAUGGAUAGUAGCCUCAGAUGCAGACAAGAUAUACCUUCCUUCUGAUUCAGGGUGCUCAAACAGGAAAAUAUGGGCUAGACAAAGAUCAUCCAAAUGGACAAAUUGGCCUUGCUUUAUGAUCGAAUAAUGGGCCUCGUUUCCUGCCAAUUUAAUUAAGAGCAAGACUUUAGCAUAUACAUUUUUUGUUUGUUUUCAAACUAACUUUAGCAUAUAAUUUCUUUUAUUAGUUGCCACUAGAGUAUGGAUACAACGUUCAAAUGUAAUGUCAAGUAAGCAUGAAAACAAUACACAAAUAUAAUGAUAGAACUUUGAACUAUCAUUGUACCGGUGAUGGGAGAAAGAGCGGUGAUUAGGCUAGGUGGCAUUGUUGGCAUUAGAAAGGAACCAACAACAAGGGAUGGAAUGGUUGUAAUGAAGUCAAUGUCAUGCUCUUUGGCAAAUUUCCAUGCUUCUUGCUCUGCCAGUGUCUUUGAAACAAAAUACAUCUACAAAAAAUGAAACCAAGAUAAAACUAAUCAUUAUGAUCGAUUGGGUACAUUUUAAAAUUUGAAGAAAAAUUCAAAUAAAAAUACUAACCCAACCAGUCAUCUUUACUCUCCGGCAGAACUCAACGUCACUCCAGCAGCUUUCAUCAAACAUUUGUUUUUGGUGCUCUACAGCGUCGAGGGUACCUGCGGAGGAUGUGAAAACCAGCCUCCGUACAGUUUUAGCCUUCUGGCAUGCUUUCAUGAUGUCUAGCACCCCGUUUAUGGUAGGCUUGAUCACUUCAUUCUGCACUUCCAAUCAAAUUUGGAACCAUAUCAUAUUCAAUACUCUCCAAUAUCAUUAAUAUUACAUUAACAUUUCAAAAAUUUUGCCACUAACUUUCAUUAACUACAUUAAUGAUUAACCUUAUCAGUUCUCUUUUAUGCGAUGCAACUGGAAGAUGAAGAUACGUUAAAUGACGUGAUAAUAAAAGAAGAAAGAUAAGAAGAAAAAAUAUGUUAAAAUUGAAUGAAAAUGAAAGUGUAAAACCUGGUACUAUGCUUAGAAAUCAAGUGUAAAUUUUAUAGAUGCCCAGACAUCAAAGUACAUGGCCCAUUAAUAAUAAUCACUUUACCUCAGGAUCCUUGGAAUUAAAGUCCAUGGGGGUGGCCAAAUGGAAAACUCCGGAGCACCCAUUGAUGGCUUCAUCAAAGCUUCCCUCUUCAGUAAGAUCGGCGUUCCAAAUAGUAAGGUUGGUCUUUGCACCAGGCAGUUCCAGCAAAUGCUUCACCUUCUUCAUGUUUUCUGCACCAUAUAUACACACAUACAUACGUACAUAUAGUGCUUCAAUCACCUUCUUCAUGUUUAAGCUUGACAUGAAAAAUGAUGAACGAAAAGAGAAAAGGGACCUCACCUGGGUCGCGUUGUACGGUGGCUCGAACCAUGUAGCCGCGCUCCAUGAGUCUCAUGACAAGCCAUGACCCGAUGAAACCGGUACUCCCCGUAACACAAACUGUUUUGGCUGCCGAACCCAUGCUUUCAAUUCUCUUCUCUGUUUUAUGGUUCCUGGUUUGGUAUGGCACGGAAAUAGAAUGGUAUGAAGUGUGUGGUGUGGGUGUUUUUAUAGAAAUUUUACAUGGUUAUUAAUCAUACAGAGGGUGAGACUGAGGGAGAAGAUUCAACAGAAGAAUAAUUUAGUACUAAAAGAUAUUGAGUAUAAAAGUUCUGAGUCAUAACCCUCCCUUUGAAUUCAAGUGGGAUGAUAUGAAAAACCACCAUCACUUUGAUUUUUUUUAUUUUUAUUUUUGAAACACACUUCGAAAUUAACAGCUAAUUGAAUUUUUAUAUAGACGGCCGCUUACAUUUGAAAAAGAAAAACCAAGUUCCACAAAACAGUAAGCUCAAGUCAACACAUCAGCAGUUGUAAAUUUCCAGAUACAAUCAUUUGAAAUAUCGUGAUUCCACUUUUUAACAUGCCUCAAGAUGGUUUAAUAUAUCUAAAACAACUUCCACUAUCAGUUAGAGCAAGAGCAAUUGCUUACUACAUUGUCUAGAUAUGAUAAGCACUCAUCUUCAGAAGUGAGUUCAGGUGCAGGGCUAAGAAAAAUAAGAAGCAUUUAAGAGUUGUAUAUGAUCAAACUGAAAUUAUAAAUGGUUUGUUUUGUCUUUUUGUUGAUAGUCAGCCUCUAAAUUUUGGCGAAACUAUGGAAGACAAGGUGGAGACAAGCUGUGGAGGAAGAGACCAAGGCCACUGAGAAGAAUGAGACUUGGAAAUUAUCAAAUCUUCCUAAGGAUCAUGAAGCAAUUGAAGUCGAGUGGAUGUUCAAGCUUAAGAAGAAUGUCAAAGGAGAGAGAGAGAAUAUAAAGAAAGGUUCGUUGCUAAAGGGUACAUGCAAAAACAAGUAGUGUGGUCCAAAGAUGCCUUCAAAAUAUAAAGAAAGGCUCGUUGCUAAAGGGAACAUGCAAGAACAAGUAGCGUGGUCCAAAGAUGCCUUCAAAACCUCAAAGUCUAACAUUCGUAGUUAUAAAAACUAUGGUUUUGUUCCACUUUCAAAAAAAACUAUGGUUUUGUUCAUCAUCUCACCAAUGUGGGACUUCUUUUAGUUUCAACAACUAUACAACUAUAAUGAAGUGUUUGCACCUAUUGGUCACAGCUCACAUGGAGACUAUUCGUCUUCUUUUUUUUUUUUGGUGGCUUACAUGAGGUGGAGAUUUCAACUUGAUAUCAAAUUGGCUUUCCUAAAUGACAACCUUGAGGAAGAUGUCUAUGUUGAACAAUCAAUGGAUUUUGGUUUCAAAGGGAAAGAGGAAAAAGUCCUCAAAUCGAAGAAGAUUUUGUAUGGCAUAACGCAAGCGCAGACACUGCAAAAAAAAAGCGCUGUUUAUGCGCCUAGUGGUGGUUAUAGACCUCCUCAAAUAUAUUUCCUUAGGUUAUGGGCAUUAGAAUUUUCUUUUUGGAAAACAACAGCAUUAGUACGUAUUUAGAACUGUUCUGUACUAGGGCAAGCUUAUGUAAAAGAAUGACAGAAAGUAAACCCUAGCAGAGCACUAAAAUAGCAAAACUACCAUAAAAGGAAUAUUCUCAUUAAUGCUAAAAAAGUUGGUUUCGUACAAGUGGAUGACCUCCCCUUUUAUAGAGGGGGUGGUCAUGAUAUGGAUCUUUCCUAUAUUUGGGCCUGACAAUCAGGGCCCAAAUCCCCGUACAUAUAAGACAAAUCCAAAUGAAUCUUCCAGCUGGCUUGUGGGUCCAUCACCUAAGGGAGGGCAAUGAAGCUCGUCAUGUUGCCUUUCCCGCCAUGGCUAUCUUCAUUGGUUUAUUGUUCAUUUUGGGCGGGACGUAAUCUUCUUUAUGUCCCGCCCAGUCCACAUGCCCCCAAGACAUGAGACUCGAGUAAUUGAGUCGAAAUGUCUUUAUCAUGUUACCCAGUAGUUCGCCUCUAUUGUUUAUUCGUUCAUCGCCAUUUUACUUUCGUUGUUACAUCGCCAUUUUCACGCUUCGCCACCUUUGUUGUCGUUUCAAAGAUAUGUCGCCAUUAGUUAUAACCGUCAAUCACGUCUUUUCAACUGACGCACGUAUCCUUAUUUUCCGGGAUUUCGUCAUCAUUUGUUAUAAAUGCAAUUUUCAGUUGUGCGUCUCGAGGAGUAACGUCUUUUCGCUUCCUACCUUUUCGAAUUUCAAAUCCCAAAAUCCCACGAUCUUCCCCCAUUCAUUCUCUCUCCUCCUUUCUCUCUAUAAAAAACCCCUUUUCACUUUUCAUUUUUCACUUUCUUAAAACUUUUGUCCUGAAAACCUUUUCACCGCAGCUUUCAUUCUCUUCUUUGAACUCCGGUGAACCUUUUCUUCCUCCGGCCGUCGUCAUUGCGCGGUGCUCCCCUAUCGCCGACGUUCUCCUUUCUCAAAUCCACAGUUCUUCCCCUGGUUAGUUUUUCUCUUUCCUGAGAUUCUUCGUUUACUUCUUUUUUCUCUGACUGUUCAUCUUCUUUCUUCUUGACUCUGUUCAUCUUCUUUUUACUUUUAGUUUGUUCAUCUUCUUUCUUCUUUUUAUGAAACUGCCUCGCAUGUCUUUACCAAACGCUAGCCUUUCUUCCCUAGAACUUUCUUCGCCCUCUACGGAGGAGGAAGUUGUCGCCCCCUCUAUAAUUGAAAUUCACUCCUCGCCUUCUACCCAUGAUGAUUCCGGUCCCGCCGGCUCUGUAGACUCAAUUCUCUCCUCUAAUGGAGAUUUGUCUUCACCUGAAUGGCGCUCUGACGUGCAUUUAGUUGAAAAUAAAUGUCUGUUGCAUUCUAUCUGGGGCAGCGUUGGGAGCAUUAAUUCGCUUCGAAUAUCUGCUCAAGGGUUUACGAAGAUAAAUCCCGCCACCUCGAAUAAUGAAGAUCAUCUCUUGAAUGUCCUCCCAUGUGGCGAAGAUGACUGUGUUCUGUUGCGUAAAGAACCAGCCGAUGAAUCGCCCGAUUUCUUCUUUGUUUAUGGCUAUUUCUUCUUAGACUUGAACAUCAAACUUCCUUUCUCGCCGUUUAUAUGUCACGUUCUUUCUUUUCUGAAUGUGGCGCCCUGCCAACUCCAGCCCAACGCCUGGGGUUUUCUCCGCUGCUUUGAAAUUCUUUGUGAACACUUGAGUUUCACUCCGACCUAUCCUUUGUUCUUCCUGUUCUAUAAAUCAGUCACCACUAAACCUACUUCUGUGAAAUGGGUUCCACUAUUAGCCCGUAAGAACAUGAGUCGGUUCACCGCCCUUAAAAGCCAUUACAAGGUAUGGCAGAAGAAAUACUUUAAAGUUAUGGAGUCGCCCGAAAUAAAGAACCUGUUCCGAGAUUCCGACAAUAACCCUCUCUUCCCUUUUUACUGGACAAAGAACCCUCGCCGAAAAAUAUCCGUUUCAUACGACGCCUUGGAUGAAUCUGAACAAGGCGUCGCCGAUUACCUCCGCACACUACCAGUAAUUUCUGGUCACGACUUGAUUGAGGCGUCGAAAUCCGACACUUUAAAUCAAUUUUUUAGUAAGUUUAUAAUCUUUGUACGUAACUUCUUUUCCUUUUUGUUCAUGUAUCUCGUCUAAUUGGUGUUUUCCAUACAGCUACAAUGGGAAAAGGCAAGGUUGAUGCGAACCCAAUCAAGAUGAAGGAAUACCUCGCCCAGUCUGCUGCGGCGGCGAAGAAGAGGGCCGCCGAAACUGAGCAGAAGAAGAAGAAUGAAGGUACUUCGGGUUCUGACAACGUCAGGGACCCUAAACGUCAAAAAACUUCAGGUGCUGCUGGUGGUAAGCCUCUCCAUCAAUCGACUCUUGAUUCAAAAAGUCGUCCAGCUGAGAAAAAGAAGGGACAUGACAAUGUCCCGCCCCCUCAACAAGAUUCAAGCACGCUGAUCAACCGCCCAUCAACUCCAUUUGGCCAGGCUGGCCCUAGCUCAGCCAUUGGUGGCGAAGCUCCUCCCCCCUUGCUGAACUUGUCGGAUCCUCACUUCAAUGGGCUGGAAUUCAUGACCCGUACUUUUGACAACCGGAUUCACAAGGACAUUUCCGGUCAGGGUCCCCCCAACAUUGCUUCCAUGGCGAUCCAUCACGCGCUUUCUGCCGCCAGUACUGUGGCGGGAAUGGCUCAGUGCGUGAAGGAGUUGAUCUCAGCCAAGAACCGUUUUGAGAAGAAGGCAGCUGAUUACAAGACAGCCUAUGAGCGGGCUAAAACUGAUGCUGAGACUGCCAACAACAAGCUGAAAUCUGCUGAGGAGAAGUGUGCUAAGUUAACUGAAGACUUGGCUGCUUCGGACCUGCUUCUUCAAAAGACCAAGUCUCUUAAAGAAGCCAUAAAUGACAAGCACACUGCCGUUCAAGCCAAAUAUCAGAAGUUGGAAAAGAAAUAUGAUCGCCUGAAUGCUUCCAUCCUAGGGCGUGCUUCUCUCCAAUAUGCUCAAGGCUUUCUGGCGGCCAAAGAGCAGAUCAGUGUAGUUGAGCCGGGCUUUGAUCUUUCCCGCAUUGGGUGGCUGAAGGAGAUCAAGGAUGGUCAAGUAGUUGGUGAUGAUGACAUUAGCCUCGACCUCCUUCCCCAAUUCGAUGAUGAGAGUGAGCCUGAAGAAGAUGGCGAGGAUGGGAAUGAGCAGCACAGGAAUGAGGAUCAAGGGAAGGAAGAUCCUCAAGCUGGGACAAGCCAGGGCAACAACGCCAACAACGAGAACCUGGCUUGAAUUUGUUUUUAUUUUAUGAAGUUGAAAUUUUUCUUUGGGCAUUGCCCUGUCUUUUAUUUUCAUUCCAAAUCAUGUAUGGGCAUCGCCCCCUUUUCUCUACUUUAAAUGGAUAUCAUCUUAAGUUCAUUCGUUGUUUUAGUUGUUUCCAACUUUCGUUGUUACAUACCUUAGCCGAUUUUUCGACGAGGCUUGGUUUCUAGUGGCCACUAGAAUUGCCAAGGCUUUUAACUUUUGAAGGCGAUACUCUCUUAUUCCGAAAGGUUUACUCGCGGUAUUGCAUACCUUGAUACGAUUUGCAUUGCAUGAACUCGUAAUAUAAAUUAAAAAAUAUAUGCGAUUCUGUUGAAAUGAUCUUUUCAUUAAUUUUCUUUCGUAUGGGAACAAUUGUCCCUUCCUUACAAAUGUCGCCUCAUUAAAAACCUUUCCAAAGAAAGGGAAAAAGAGUGCGACUUCAUUUACAUUUGUUGUUUCUACUAACUAAAAUACUGCUUCAGAUGAGAGGCGUUCCAUGUUCGUGGAACCUUUUGACCGCUUAGUUGUUCCAACUUAUAAGCUCCUCCUCCAACGUCGCCUAUAAUCCUGUAAGGCCCGCCCCAGUUGGGUGAAAGUUUGUUGUGUUUAUCAAGUAUUGUAUUUUUUCGGAGCACUAAGUCUCCUACCCUCAUUUUUCUUGGCAUUACUUUCGUUGAGAACUUUCUUGCCACCUUCACUUUUCCCGCCUCAUUUCUUAUGUGAGCCUCUCGUUGUUCCUCGGGCAGCAUGAUUAGAUUUGCUAUUAAGUUUUCUCCGUUGUCAUUUUCAUUAAACCGAGCCACUCGCCAACUUUGGUUUUCAAUUUCCACUGGGAGCAUGGCGUCAGUUCCAUAAGUUAGACGAUACGGGGUUUCCUUUGUGCUUGACUGUUCCGUGGUGUUGUAUGCCCAAAGAACGCCUGGUAGUUCCUCCGCCCAAAGCCCUUUUGCUUCAUCCAGUUUCUUUUUUAAACCUUUCAGGAUAACUUUGUUAGCCGACUCAGCCUGCCCGUUGGUUUGUGGAUGUUCUACAGAGGCAAAUCGCAUCUCGAUUCCCAUUUCAUCACAAAAUUCCCGGGUAACACUACUUGUGAAUUGGGUUCCAUUAUCCAUUACUAACGCCAUGGGGACCCCAAAUCUACAAAUAAUCCUUCGCCACAGGAAGUUCCUGACCUUGGCGGCUGUGAUAGUCGCCACCGCCUCGGCUUCUAUCCACUUAGUGAAGUAAUCAACCGCCACGAUGAUGUACUUCAUUUGUGCCUUCGCUACAGGGAAUGGUCCUAAGAUAUCAGUCCCCCACAUGGCGAACGGCCAGGGCGCCAUCAUGGUUGUUAAUUCUUCUGGUGGAGCCUUGUGCAAAUCAGAAAAGACUUGACAUUUUUCACAUUUCUUCACAUACUCCAAACAAUCCUUCUUCAUGGUUGGCCAAUAGAAUCCUGCUCUUAUCACUUUUAUUGCCAAGGAUCGCCCGCCGAUAUGACUAGAACACACACCUUCGUGGACUUCCGCCAUUAUUCCGAGGGCGUCCUUGGUAUCGACACAUUUGAGCAUAGGAGACAUGAUUCCCCGCCGAUACAACUCACCAUCCACCAGUGCGUAGAAACUGGCUUCCCUGCGUUUUGUUCUCGUGUUCAAAUCAUCCUCCUUUGGUGGAUUCUCUAAGAAGGUCUUAAUCGAUUCCAUCCAAGGUAGCUCGCCCUCACUGACUGACUUUACAGCUUUCAACUUUAUUUCUACCAAAUCAAUGCUCGGGCGAGGCAGGGUUUCUUGAAUGACUGUUUGGUAGUUGCCCAAUCUCCCUGUGCUUGCCAACUUCGCCAACACAUCAGCCCUCUCAUUUUGUCCCCUCGGGACAUGUUCUAUUUUGAUUUCUUUGACCUCCAUCAUCAAUCUGCGCACCACUUCCAAAUAUUUGGACAGUUGCGGAUCCUUCACCUGGUACUCGCCUUUCACUUGCUUAACCACUAACUGCGAAUCUCCUUUGAUAAAUAACUUCUGGACUCCCAACUCAAUGGCCAACCUUAAGCCGGCAAUCAGAGCCUCAUACUCAGAUUGAUUAUUGCUCGCCUUGAACUCGAACUUGAGAGACUGUUCAAUGAUCAUUUUAUCUGGACUUUCGAUUGUUAUUCCCGCCCCACUUCCAGUGUUAUUAGAGGAUCCAUCCACGGACAGGACCCAUUCUCCUUGAGUCUUCUCUCCUUCAGUGGGUGUUAAUUCCGCCACGAAGUCAAUUAAACUCUGGACUGUGACUUGGCCCCUUGGCUCAUAUUGUAUGUCAUAUUCUGAUAGCUCAACUGACCAGCUAACCAAUCGCCCUGAUAAAUCAGGCUUCUGAAGUACUUGCCUUAAGGGAACAUCAGUUUUAACUUUGACUUGGAAACUUUGGAAGUAAGGUCUGAGGCGCCUUGCAGUUUUCAGAAUCGCCAAAGCCGCCUUUUCAAUUUUUUGGUGCCGCAAUUCUGCCCCCUGUAAAGUAUGGCUCACGAAAUAUAUAACUUUCUGCUUUUUUCCUUCUUCCUUGAGCAACACCGUACUUACCGCCUUGUCAGUAACCGCUAAAUAGAGCACUAAUGGGACGCCUGGUGUUGGCUUGGAGAGUACUGGUAAUGUGGCCAAUGUUUCUUUCAAUUUGGUAAAAGCUUGUUCGCAUUCCUCUGUCCACUGAAACUUUGAAUUCUUUUUUAAACACGUGAAGAACGGGGCCGCUUUGUCACCCGCCAUUGGCAAGAAACGUGACAAGGCGGCCAUUCGCCCUGUCAAACGCUGAACCUCCUUUACACUUGUUGGGCUUUUCAUCUCCAAGAUCGCCCUUCCCUUAUCAGGGUUCACUUCUAUUCCUCUUGAUGUUAACAUAAAUCCCAAGAACUUUCCUCCCUGGAUCCCAAAAGAACACUUCUCAGGAUUCAACUUCAUUUGAUAUGUUCUUAACUGAGUAAACGCUUCUUUGAGAUCACCCCCAUGAUCACUAGCCCUGACGGACUUUACGAUCAUGUCGUCCACAUACACCUCCAUAUUCCUGCCUACUUGUUUUGAAAAAUUUUUAUCCAUAAGCCGUUGGUACGUAGCUCCUGCAUUCUUCAAACCAAAAGGCAUUGUCUUGUAACAAUAGUUCGCCUGAUUGGUCAUAAAUGCUGUACUUUCUUCAUCCGAGGGGUGCAUCAUAAUCUGAUUAUAGCCUGAAUAAGCGUCCAUGAGACUUAAAAGUUCAUUCCCUGAAGCUCCAUCCACAAGUUUGUCAACAUUGGGAAGUGGGUACGAAUCUUUGGGACACACUUUGUUCAGGCUUGCGUAGUCCGUGCACAUUCGCCAUUUCCCAUUGGCCUUCUUGACCAUUACAACAUUGGCGAGCCACGUUGGGUACUGUACCUCACGGAUGAAGCGGGCCUUGAUCAAUUUUUCAGUCUCUAAUUGUACAGCUUUGUUCUUUUCUUCACUCAUUCUUCGCCUUGGUUGGAUGACUGGGGUCGCCCCUGGUCGUAUGGCUAGUUUGUGAGUGAUCACCUUGGGAUCGAUCCCUGGCACAUCAUUGAUGGUCCAUGCGAAGAGAUCUAGAUUAUCACCCAGAAGGGUGAUUAGUCUUUCCUCUUGUUCUGCUGUCAAACUACUGCCAAUCUUUAGAAGCUUGUCCUUGACUUGCACCUGCUUGGUUUCUUCCAGAGGUUAUGGGCGAAAGUCAUCAGCAUCGUCUCUUGGGUCCAAGCUAAAUCCUUCGUGUGGGAAGAUUUCUGUAAUUCGAUGGCUCUCCUUGGCGGCCCUUUGCCCAUAGAGCGCCACGCUUCUCAAAUAGCAUUCCCUUGCUGCAUUCUGGUCUACACGCAAUAUCCCGACCUUCCCAUUGCAGGCGGGAUAUUUAACAGUUAAAUGAGCAGUUGAGAUGACCGCGCAAACCUUGUUAAGGGUGUCUCGCCCCAAGAGUACAUUGUAAUUGGCUCUACACGCCAAUACUAAGUACUUUACUUGAAAUUUCUUGACAAACUCUCCUUCUCCAAAGGCAGUCGGAAUUUCGACGUAUCCCCGCACACUGACACGGUCCCCUGUGAAUCCCACCAAAGUUCCCUUGUAUGGUUUCAAAUCUGAUUCCUUUAGUCCCAGGCGAUCAAAGGCGUCUCCAUAGAUGAUAUCCGCCGAAGAUCCCUGGUCUAAGAAUACUUUCUUUGUCACAUAAUUGUUAACCCUGAUUGUCACCACAAUUGGAUCGUUGUCAUGAGGAAUUACAUGCGCGAAAUCCUGAGGGGUAAAUAUAAUAGGGGAAUGAUUCACCCAACACUCGCCUUCGUUCGACUCCUGUACUGAGUGUACUGCCGCCACGUAGCGUUUUCUAGCCUUACUCGAAAUUGCACCCCCGCCAAAUCCUCCUGCAAUAGAUGAGCAUUCCCCAACAGGAUCGCCCAACUCUUCAACUAUUUCUUUACCUUUGCCUUUGUCCCCCUGAGUGAUCUUAGCUACCUCCGGCGUUGCUGUGUCUUUAACAAAGUUUGCCAAAUGGCCAGCUUUAAUCAAGCGAUCAAUUUCCCGCCUUAAAUUCCAACAAUUAUCUGUCGUAUGCCCCAAUGCCUUGUGGUACUCGCACCACCUAUUGGUGUCCACGUUAGCUGGCGGCCGCCGUGGUGGUGGUGGAUACUGCACAACGUUGGUCUGCCCAACUGCCCUUAAAAUGGUACUCAAGGGUGCAUUCAACUUAGUAAGUGGAACUGGUGCGGGCGAAGCACCAGUCUGACCAGCUGUGGCAGCAGUGGGACCUUGUGGAUUUCUGUGCCAUGUAUUUUGAAAGCCAGGUUUAGAGUUUUGGUAUGGUCCCGGUCUAGGUACACGGGGGGUUUGCGUUAUCCUGGUUUCCUUCCCCGCCUUGGAUUUAUCUUGUGAAACACCGCCAGAUUGAGACUGCUUGCGUCCUUCCUCUCUUUCUUGUUUCUUCUGAUCAUCUUGCUCGAUUAAUAUGAACUCUUGAACACGAGCGCGAAGAUCCAUCAUAUCCUUCGCCGGUCGCCUUGUUAAGUCUCUAUUCAAAUCUCCCGCCCGAAGGCCAUUUUUGAAUGACGCCAAACAAACAUCUGGAUUUUCAUCCUCCAACUGCACCGCCAUCUUGCUGAAGCGUGCCAUGUAGGUUUUUAAUUUCUCGCCUGGUUGUUGAUGUAUGCUGAUAAGAUCAAACAUUGUUGCUUUUGUGGUUUUAUUGGCGGAAAAUUGAGUCAGAAACUUAGUGGACAUAUCAGUGAAAUUAUCAAUGGAGAAGGGCGGUUGUCGAAUGAACCACUGCAUCGCCAUGCCUUUGAACGUGGAAGGCAAUAAUCGACAUUUUACCGCAUCCGUCGCCCCGCCGAUCACCAUUUUGGUAUUGAAAUAUCUAAGGUGCUCCAUAGGAUCAGACUCGCCCGAAAAGGCGUCUAACGCCAUGGUUUGCAUGUGCUUUGGAAUGUCCACCCUAGUGAUGGCUGGAACAAAAGGUUGGAAUUCAACUACAUCCUCCGCCUCCAGGCGUUGUUCUUGCUUAAAAUCCUGCCGCUGAGUGAGAUACUCAACUUGGGCUUGCAACUGCUCGUUUUGGGACUGCACCUUCUAUAAGGUAUCUAACAUUUGUUGCAAAGCCGCAGGCGUGAUACCUGUCACUGCCUCUUGUGCUCUCCGUGGAGCAGUGGUUUUAAAAUCUUCCAAGUUCACAUAUUCAGGCGGCGUUGAACGCCGCCGAACACCUGGAUCUAAUUUAGCGAUCAGAUCUGAAGGUCUUCUCGGAGCUGCAUUCACCAAUGACGCUGGCGACGGCGCCACUGAGUGGACCCCCUCCGAGGAAGCUUCCUGCUCCUGCUCGUCCAGUACGGGACGGUUGUUGUUUCGUCCGCCGCCGCGACCGCCAUGCCGACCACCACCGCGCCGGCGAUGAUCGCGUCGACCCAUGCCGCAUGAACGAGUCUCCAUGGCUCGCAAUUCCUCCUUCUGUCACCGGAAGAGCUGAGUCAGAGCCACAGACGGCGCCAAUGUUCUGUACUAGGGCAAGCUUAUGUAAAAGAAUGACAGAAAGUAAACCCUAGCAGAGCACUAAAAUAGCAAAACUACCAUAAAAGGAAUAUUCUCAUUAAUGCUAAAAAAGUUGGUUUCGUACAAGUGGAUGACCUCCCCUUUUAUAGAGGGGGUGGUCAUGAUAUGGAUCUUUCCUAUAUUUGGGCCUGACAAUCAGGGCCCAAAUUCCCGUACAUAUAAGACAAAUCCAAAGGAAUCUUCCAGCUGGCUUGUGGGUCCAUCACCUAAGGGAGGGCAAUGAAGCUCGUCAUGUUGCCUUUCCCGCCAUGGCUAUCUUCAUUGGUUUAUUGUUCAUUUUGGGCGGGACAUAAAUGUCCCGCCCAGUCCAAGAACCAUCUUCACAUAAUUCGUUAGUCGUUACUAACUUAGGAAUGUUUAUAUGCACUUUGAUAAUGCAGACAGUCUUUUGUUUCCAUUACUUAAUAACUAUCACUUUCUCAGUUUCUAAUAUAUAAUGCUCUGAUUAUAGAGAAGUUCUCCAACUUUCUCAGUUUCCUCUCAAGCAGCCUUCCAUAGUGAUUUUCUUCCCAUAAACUAAAGGAAUUAGCAUAAGUGCAUAACAUGAACAGUAAUCUCAUGUAGCUUCUGAGAGCAAUAAGUGAACAAUAUAUAUAGUAUAUUCAAAUGCUGCUAUAUUCCAAAGUGAUAGAAAGAACAGAGUUAUACGAACCUCACGGCUUCAACGUUGAGGAACAAAGUGAUGAAGAUGCCGCAGAAGAGGGGAAUGGGAAUGGGUAAACCAACAGGUAGAGGGAUAAGGUUGGGGAAUCGAGGUUUUGGGGAGGAAGUUGAGGGAAAGAGGAAAGUCUAUUUUUUAUAUUUUAAUUACAGUUUUGGUCCCUAAAGUAACAUAAUUAUGUGAUUCUAGUCCCCAAUUAAAAAAAUGAGCUAUUUUAAUCCUUCUGGGUUGAAGAAGAAAAGGGUGAGAGUUGAAGUAGAAGGGUUAGUUUUUUUUUUUUUAAUUGUUUUUUAUAUUUACAUUAAUUGCUGAUGUGUAUCAAAUGAUGGUGAGAAUAGAAAAAAAAGGGCUAAAUAGAAGAAAGAAAUGAGGGUGGUGUAAAUAGAAGUCCCAUGUAGACAGAAGGGGUAAGAUUUUGGACGGAAAAGCAAAACAAGUAAAAUAAUAGAAUAAAUACUCUUUUGGUCCUUGAAAUUGUAAUGGGAGUCAAACCUGGUCCAUGUAAAAUUUUCUCAUCAAAUUAAGUCCCUAAAAUUAUUUUUUUAAUCUAAUUGGGUCCAAAGUGUGUCUGAGUCUGAUGUGCCUUAUUUUUAAUCUUAGUUAGCUUUUCCACGUGGUUUUUUUUAAUAUAAUUAAUAGAUAAUCAUUUUUUUUAUUCCAACUCACUUUCCCUAAACCUAAUCUUCUUCAAGAUAUAUCAUCUUCAUCUCCUCCACAUGAUCUCCAUCUUCUUUAUUAUGAUAUACAACAAAACCCAGAAAAUAAUAAACUUAAAAUUAAAAAACUUAAAGGCUUAAUUCCAGAUUGAGCCCCUGAUGUUUCACAAAUGUGCAUUCUACAUCUCCCGUGUUUAAAAUGUGCGGUCAAGCUCCCUGAUCUAUCUAAACUGUGAGAUUGAUGGCCUUCCGUCUAUAUCUGUUUGGUUCCGUCUGUUGACCAAACAAAGCUGCUUUCAUUAAACGGAACUUACUGAUGUGGCCUACUAUUGACACCACUUUAAUAUGUAUUUGCUAUUUGCACCCUUUUUAUCACAUAAAAGAAGGGUUAUUUAUGCUCGGGGUCCCUGAACUAUAGUCAGGAAUCGGGAUACAUCCCUAAACAAAUUUUUUGUUGGUUUCCAUCCUGAAACUUAUAAAAUCGAUUGGGUUUCAUCCCUUUACCGGUUGUGGUGCUUACAUGGCACAGGUAAGUGCUGACAUGUCGGUUUUUUUAUUUCUUUAUUAUUUUUUAAAAGACUUCUAUUAUUUUUUUAAGAGAAAGAAAGAGGAGAGGGAGGACGGUUCUUGCCCAAACCCAACCAUUCCUGAACCAGCUUUUGCCAAAAGUAGCUUGGAGGACUUACUUAGUGGGGAUAUUGUACUCUGGAUACUUUGAGUUAAUUAACUUUGCAAUGUCAUGGAUAGUAGCCUCAGAUGCAGAACAGAUAAACCUUCCUUCUGAUUUAGGCAAAUUUCUUCUCUGUUUUAUUUUUACUUGUUAGGUAUGGCACGGAAAUAGAAUGGUAUGAAGUGUGUUCACUGUGUUGUGUGGGUGUUUUUAUAGAAAUUACAUGGUUAUUAAUCAUACAGAGGGUGAGACUGAGGGAGAAGAUUCAACAGAAGAAUAAUUUAGUACUAAAAGAUAUUGACUACUAUAAAAGUUCUUGAGUUAUAACCCUCUCAAGUGGGAUAAUAUAUAUAUUUUUUGAAACACACUUUGAAAUUAACAGCUAAUUGAAAUUUUAUAUAGCCGGGCGCUUAGAUUUGAAAAAGAAAAACCAAGUCCCACAAAACAAAUUCUCCAACUUUCUCAGUUUCCUCUCAAAGCAGCCUUCCAUAAUGAUUUUCUUCUCAUACUAAACUAAAGUAAUUAGCAUAAGUGCAUAACAUCUAAUAAGUCCAAUCCUACUACACUAGAUUACCAUAACAACAACCUCAAGCAUGCUUUCCCACACAAUUAGAUCAACAAUCUCAACCAUGUUUUCAGCUGAUUGCAUACCAAAGCUUCAGAACCAGUUACCAAGAAACUCUAGUUUUUAAAGUAAUAGUUGAUGCUAAGGAAGAGACAAAAUGGAAAAUGAAAAACUUCAAAGAGCUCUACGAACCUCCACCGCACCGCCGAGCUACUUCAUCACCCCAUUCAAGCCGGAGGAGCUCAACUCGCCAAGGUCGCGCAGCUUGACUCAGAGAUCAACUUUGCUGGCAUUGAUGCCCUCGACGAGAACUUCUGAUGGGUUGAGGAACAAAGUGAUGAAGAUGCUGCUGAACAGGUGAGUGUCAAUGGGUAAAGCAGGUAGAGGAUAAGGUUUAUAAACCGCCGCUUUUCGCCUUAUUUUUUGCAGCAAAUAUUUACAAGUACUUUAAUCCUAAUGAAUUUUGAUUAGAUGUUUGUGUCAAACCUUACGCUAACAUAUGACAUAGCAUUAGCAUGAUAAUUAAAUUCUUAUGUUAAAACUUUUGAUAAUUUGGCAGGUUUCGUCCUAAGCUACGUAGCUCGAUCUGUAUAGAAAGGAACCAGCAUCUCAGGUGGGUCCACCUCUUAAGACUUAGACAUAAUCCUAACGAGUUAGGUUAAUCUAAAAACUCAUUAAGCUGUUGUAAGAUCAUUUUAUAAUAGACAUAGAAUUAUGGUCAUUGCCCCUCUAUAAAAGGUAAGACCUCAUUUAUAAUAAAUCAGGUUCUCUCUUAAACUCGACAAUAGCUACACAGACCCUAAAAUCUCCAUGUUCAUGUAAGAAAAAUAUGGUGAUAAUUUAUUAUUUUACUUGUUUUGCAUUUAUGCAGGCCGACCCAACACUAAAUGAGACCUAAAGUAAAUUUUAAAGUGCGAUAUUUUUACCUAAAAAUUUUUUUUACGUAAAAACUACAAAAAUGCAGUUAUUCUCUCAUUUCAAUAUUUUUAUUUAUUAGUUAGUAACAAUUAAUUAGGAAACUGAGGACACCAAACGUGAGAUUGAGAUGGAGUUUUGUUGUUGUUGUUCUUGCCAUUAGGGGUGUACAAGGGACGAGUUUUAGUUUACCCCAACCCGGCCCUAAACAUUGACCGGACCAAUUCAUAGACCCUAACCCGUCCCUAGACUCGAAGCAACCCGACAAUAUGCGGGUCCAAUUUAGGACGGGACCGGGUUGGUCCGAGAGACAAUAAAUUUAAGACUAUUUAGUACUAAUUGUAAAAUUUAAAGAUAAUAAUAGACUAAAAGAGUUAUAAGUUAGAACUAUAUUUUAGAAGAAAGAACUUGAAAGGAUCAAAUUCUUGCAUAAUCUAUUGCACUUGAGAGGUUUACAUUUUAUUUGAUCUACAUGCACGUGCCACUUAUUUUGUUUGAUCUCUCUUCACUUGUCUCACAUGUGCAUAAUGCACAUGCAUGAUUUUCUCUUGUUAGAGCAUGAAAGUGUCCAUCUUUUGACCAACAUUUAUUUAAUUCAUUAGAUAGAUGUUCAACAUUAUCAUCUCAUCCACAUGGUAAAAUAAAUUUGAGCACCAUCCAUCACAUUUUUGAUCAUUAUAACAAAUUAAAAUAUAUAUGUGGGACGAGCCGGGUGACUCGAGUGUUAACCCGACCCGAAGUCGGAUAACUCAAUGAUCAACCUGAACCCGGUAUCUUUUAAUUAUCGGGCCGGGUUGAACCCGGCUCUAGAAGCUUGGGACAGGUUGUCGGGUAAGGCCGGGUCUUGUACACCCCUAGUUGCCGUCUGUUCAGUUUUUCAUUGAGUUUUGUUCAAUUAACUAUGGAACUUGGGAAACCAAAUGUUUGUUAGACUAGUCAAACGUGGGAUGAAUUUUUUUUUUAAUUAAUUACUUUUGGCUUAAUUACAUUUUUACCCUUGGAACCGUUAGUUUUUUGACGAAAAACUAUAUGGGGACCAAAACUGCUAACGGAGAUAAACGUCGGGUACCAUUAUGUUAUUUUUAAAUGUUGGGGACUCCUAUUGCACAUUUUUGAAACGUGAGGGACCAAAAAUACUAAUAAGCAUUUUUUUAAUUGAAACUUGAUUUUUAUGUGAGGUCUUCUUUACAAAAAUGCUAUUGGACUUAUUACAUGAAUUGAAGGUCUUUUUUUACUUGAUAAAUUUUUUUGAGAGCCUAAAGCCCUUACUUAGGCCACAUAGCUUUGGAACGACCCUGCAUUUAUGUUGAUGAUCUUAUUUUAAUGGGCAAUGCUCCAAAUUUGUUUCAAGAUUUAAAGAAAAAUAUAUCUCGUGAGCUUGUGUGAUGACUUAUUUCGAAUUUGUGUCUUACAAUUUGGGAUUAUAAUUAAAGCAAAUAUAGAAUGAUUUUUUUAUUUGUCAAGAGAGUUUGUUAUACAUUUAGAGUUAAAUGUUUUUUUUAUUGCAAUCUCAUGAACUCACGUACGAAAUAUAACUUAAAAUUGUCAAAGCUUGAUGGUGGAGAGAAGGAAGAUCCUACAUUGAUCAAGAGUCUCGUAAGAAGCUUGAGAUUCUUAACAAGUAUAAGGCUAAACAUUAUGUAUGUGGUUGGUGUUUUUAUAUCACUUUAUAAAGUCCUCAACCACUACUUAGAUAAGGCUACAAAAAUAAUACUUCAUCAAAAGCAUAAGUUUUAUAAAAAGUUAUAUACAAGUGCUUUCGACAAAGACAAAAGAUUAAACACGCACAAUAACAGCAACAACAAAAGCAAAGAAUGCAAACACAGCCAGAGGAGAAAAUCCCUUUCUCCACCGACUAGCCAAAACUCCCUCCAUGCCUUGACACCACUGAGAGUAGGCUGUUCUAAAAUCCAAUCCAAUGAGCAACCACUGUAUAUCCACUUGUUAAGUAGACAUCGUUUAACUUAUUGAAAGAUAAUCUGGCCUAAGGCCUUACAAAACUUAAACACAAAAACCUUAAUUAAUCAAGAACAGAAAUCCUAAUCAAGAAACACAAUAGGUAAAGGAGGAUCCAUAGCCAUAUCAUACAUCACAGACACAAAGAUAUAAACAAUGCAAAUUUAUUUGCCAUUGCUUGGAUUUUCUGCAGCUUUAGGAAGAAGCCCUUUUUCCUUGCACGUGUCAAUUGCUCCAGUGUACAUAUCCUCUAAGCUGUAUUUAAAUUCGAAUCCCAUGUCUUUGAUCUUCUUUGAUGAAAAUCUGACAAGCUCCAAUUCAUCUGGAAUAUUCUUGAACCUGAUGAAAAUCCAAUUCAAUAUCAGCUCAACAUGGAUGUUUAAUUAUCUUGUAGUUUUGUACAUAAAUAAGUGAUUCUGAAAGAUUUCAACUCCGGCGAAGUAGCUUGGAGGACUUACUUAGUGGGGAUAUUGUACUCUGGAUACUUUGAGUUGAUUAACUUUGCAAUGUCAUGGAUAGUAGCCUCAGAUGCACUACAGAUAUACCUUCCUUCUGAUUCAGGGUGCUCAAACAGGAAAAUAUGGGCAAGACAAAGAUCAUCCAAGUGGACAUAUUGGCCUUGCUUUAUGAUCGAAUAAUGGGCCUCGUUUCCUGCCAAUUUAGUUAUGAGCAAGACUU
RNAcentral lists this long non-coding RNA (18580 nucleotides) under Lotus japonicus. RNAcentral's name for it is "long non-coding RNA (LJAP_LNC001961)". Lineage: Eukaryota; Viridiplantae; Streptophyta; Magnoliopsida; Fabales; Fabaceae. The record is from RNAcentral.